CCGUGCAGCUCUUGUUUGUAAGGAGCUGCUAUGGCUGCCCGGAGUAAGUGGCGUUAACGAUUGGGUCUUACGCAAUGGAGACUGCGAACCGUGUCAGGUUGGGAACAAAGCAGCACUAAGCAGAACCUGCCAUGUGCCGUAAGGGUGCCUGAUCUCAGUUAACUGCUUUGGUAACGCGUAGCAGUUCCUUAUGGACAAAGUCCACGG
Firmicutes bacterium CAG:95 is the source of this 207-nucleotide non-coding RNA. It matches the Rfam family "Bacterial large signal recognition particle RNA". From Rfam's summary of the family: The signal recognition particle (SRP) is a universally conserved ribonucleoprotein involved in the co-translational targeting of proteins to membranes. Archaeal SRP consists of a 7S RNA and homologues of the eukaryotic SRP19 and SRP54 proteins. NCBI's taxonomy places the organism in Bacteria, Bacillati, Bacillota. The record is from Rfam.